This 2264-nucleotide long non-coding RNA is filed under the name Setaria italica (foxtail millet). RNAcentral's name for it is "long non-coding RNA (SITA_LNC004521)". Lineage: Eukaryota; Viridiplantae; Streptophyta; Magnoliopsida; Poales; Poaceae. The record is from RNAcentral.
CGUAGAUGGCGAGAGGGUCAUCGUCCCUGACGGUGGCCUGGAUGGUGGAGGUGGUGACCGUGGUGUCGAGCGUGACGGUGUCUGCCUCGGUCUGCGCUUCGUAGGUGUAGUCCUUCUUGGCAACGCUGGUGCUGGCGAGCGUGGUCACCUUGCCUUUAUUGGACUUGAGGAACUGCAUGGAGUAGUAGUCCGGCACGGCGUGGUAGAGCAGGAUGGCCGUCUUGGCCUUGGCCGUCAGGUUCUUGAACUUUGGCAUGAAGGCGGCCACGGCGGCGUCGACAGGGCAGAAGAGCGUGAGCGCAGUGUCCUUGGUUCCGUUGAUGGUAUCGAAGGCUUUGGCAUCGGCAGCUAGGAGGCCGGCGAAGCUCUUGCAGUACUUUUUGGAGAGGAGUUCGGUGAGGUUGACCGGAGCCGGCGGGGCCACGGGCGCCUCGGCCUCCGGGGAGGACAGCACACUGCUGACCUGGAGCACCGAGUAAUCGUAGCGGUGGCUCUCGAUCUGCUUGACGAAGGUGACGGGCUUCACGGAGUCAGCAGCGUCAUCGACGAUGAACGUCACCUUGCCGCCGCGGUGCUGCGUUAUGUUGACGUACCCUGCCAUGCCGGGGGCAAACCCGGAUCGCUGCACAUUGAUGAAGAGCAUCAUCGGUUAGUACUGGUCACUACUCCCUCCGUCCUAAAUUAUAGAUCGUUUUGACUUUUUUAAAUAUAUAAAUAUUAUUAUACAUAAGAUAUAUCUAAGUACAUAAUAAAGUAUAUAAAUCUAAAAAAAGUCAAAACAACCUCUAAUGUAGAACGGAGGGAGUAAUAGCUUUUCACUUCAAUUGCAAACUUGUAUGGAAUGGAGAACGAUUGAAUAUUGCAGGGUCCAAUUCAGCUGACCUACUUCAUGCCAUAUACUCAAGGAUUAUCAUUCAAUGCAAACAUUCUGCUCACUUUUGUUUGUGCGGCUUGCCAGCUACUAACUGAAACCGCACAGUACAUUUCCCCCCAAUUUAGAUACGUACAAAGUUCUAUAAAACACAUCAUGAAUGGUUCGUUGACUAUGUGUUGACUCUCCAUUGUAUCCAAGUUCUAAAAGAAGUUGCAUUAACAAUCCUACACAUGUUUGUUUAGAUCUUGCCUUGGGAAUUUCAGCUGGCCCGACAAUCCAGGGAUUCGAGUGUGAAAAAUAAUGUGGCUGGAGAAGCCGCUAAUUUAUUGUUUCAGCAACCUUGUGAGAAGAUAGGCCAACAUGUGCAUGUGCGUGGGCAUCACUUCAAAAGCGAUUGUAUACAAAAUUGGAACUAGUCAGUAAAUGGAUUUGGAGCAUUAGUUAGGUUCCACAAGGAUAUAUCUAUGAGAUUUGAGUCUUUUUUUUUAUUCGGCAAAAGAAGCUCUUUUCUUCAAAAUAAUUACUCUUCCUCCUUAUCCCAAAAUAAGCCCAUUAGAAUAUUGACACGGUUUAUAAGAGGCCGGCACUAUCUAAAAAAACAUAUUAUCUUAAAUGAAAAAAAGCUAUAUAUGUUGUAUCAAAUUUUAUUUCGUAAUGAACCUAAUAUCUCUAAUAUUAUGUUGUCAAUCUAUAUAAAAUUACAGAUAUUUAAAGUUAAAAAAGUUUUACUUCGGGCAAACAUUGAUGAACGAGAAAAAUAGCAUUAUUGCGAUCCAAAUUUAUUUAGUGCCUAACUGUUCUAACCGAAGCCCAUUAAAUUUGGCGGCAGAAUUAUUCUCUAUGAGCCUAUGAUAAAGCAACCCAGGCAGGGCAAGGCACUUUCGGCAGAGAGAGAGAAAAAAGGGUCAAAAUUUUAAAGCCAAAAACAGUAAAAUAGCCUCUGAAGUUACUCAAUAAAAUAGCCUCUGAAGUUACUCAAUGAGAUGGAAAUGAUUACAAAAUGCCUUGGGUUGGGAAAAAAAUUUCUGUCAGUCAUCUUUAUCUUUUCAAGAAUAGCUGAUGCAAAACAGUUGAAGGAAUGUAAAGCUUCAAACGGUCUAGUGAGCUGCAGAUCUAACAACAAAUUAACUGAAAGCAAGAGUGAAGACACUCGCAGCUGUUGCUUACCUGGAAAAGGGUCGAUGCAGCGGUGGCGCCGUGCGACAGCUGCUUGAGCUUCUUCUCGUCGUAGUAGUCGGCGACGACGUGCAGCUCGAGGAUGUGGCGGAUGGUCCCGAGCGAGUAGUGGGCGCUGGUGAGGUGGCCCAUGUCGCCGUUGGCGACGGCGAGCACGGUGAUGGUGCGGUCCCGGUUGAUGUCGCCGGCGAGGUGCGUCUCGUUGAGCAGCUUG